GCCUAAAGCGUCCGUAGCCGGCUCUGUCAGUUUUCGGUUAAAUCCAUAUGCUCAACAUAUGGGCCGCCGGGAAUACUACAAAGCUAGGGAGUGGGAGAGGUAGACGGUACCCCGUAGGAAGGGGUAAAAUCCUUUGAUCUAUGGAUGACCACCAGUGGCGAAGGCGGUCUACCAGAACACGUUCGACGGUGAGGGAUGAAAGCUGGGGGAGCAAACCGGAUUAGAUACCCGGGUAGUCCCAGCUGUAAACUAUGCAAACUCAGUGAUGCAUUGGCUUGUGGCCAGUGCAGUGCCGCAGAGAAGUCGUUAAGUUUGCCGCCUGGGAAGUACGUACGCAAGUAUGAAACUUAAAGGAAUUGGCGGGGGAGCACCACAAGGGGUGAGGCCUGCGGUUCAAUUGGAGUCAACGCCAGAAAUCUUACCCGGAGAGACAGCAGGAUGAAGGUCAAGUUGAAGCCUUUACCAGACAAGCUGAGAAGUGGUGCAUGGCCGUCGCCAGCUCGUGCCGUGAGGUGUCCUGUUAAGUCAGGUGACGAGCGAGAUCCUUGCCUCUAGUUGCUACCAUUACUCUCAGGAGUAGUGGGGCGAAUUAGCGGGACUGCCGUAGUUAAUACGGAGGAAGGAGAGGGCCACGGCAGGUCAGUAUGCCCCGAA
RNAcentral lists this ribosomal RNA (654 nucleotides) under uncultured archaeon. Its description in RNAcentral is "bacterial SSU rRNA". It matches the Rfam family "Archaeal small subunit ribosomal RNA", at positions 508 to 1160 of the family's 1478-position model. The record is from RNAcentral.